RNAcentral lists this long non-coding RNA (388 nucleotides) under Ananas comosus (pineapple). RNAcentral's name for it is "long non-coding RNA (ACOM_LNC017425)". The record is from RNAcentral. Lineage: Eukaryota; Viridiplantae; Streptophyta; Magnoliopsida; Poales; Bromeliaceae.
AUAAUUAAUUCUCAAGUUAUUAUGAAAUUUGUUAUUUAAAUAAUAUUUCAUGAACUAGGCUGGAAUACUAUCAAUAACACAAAUUUAUUGAUAGAAAUGUGUGGUUUUGAUGAUAUGGACCUCUAAGAUUGAAUGGGUGGGUGGUUGGUUGAAUAGUAUAAUCUAACGGAUAAAAAUAAUCAAAAGGUUAAAUUUAACGGUGGAAAAUUCGAUAGUACCAAGCCUUUGGUAUUAUCGAUAGUAUGUCAGCUGGACUAUUGUUAUAUAUAUUUUUAGUAAUUUAAUAUUUAUAUUUAAUAUAAUUCUACAAUAAACAACAAUCAAAUAUAAUCAAUAAAUGAAAUUUAAAACGACAUGAAUUAAAAUUAAAUUUAAUCUAAUUACGUUU